Molecule: ribosomal RNA, 311 nt
Filed under: uncultured bacterium
Lineage: Bacteria
Description: bacterial SSU rRNA
Rfam family: Bacterial small subunit ribosomal RNA
Source: RNAcentral
GACGAACGCUGGCGGCGUGCCUAACACAUGCAAGUCGAACGGACGAGGAGGAGCUUGCUUCUCCAAGUCAGUGGCGGACGGGUGAGUAACGCGUGAGUAACCUGCCCUUCAGAGGGGGAUAACGUCUGGAAACGGACGCUAAUACCGCAUGACAUAUUUCCAUCGCAUGGUGGAGAUAUCAAAGGAGCAAUCCGCUGAAGGAUGGACUCGCGUCCGAUUAGAUAGUUGGCGGGGUAACGGCCCACCAAGUCGACGAUCGGUAGCCGGACUGAGAGGUUGAACGGCCACAUUGGGACUGAGACACGGCCCAG